AAAAUCUCGGUUAACCGAAUUUUCGGUUACAUAUUUUGUAAAGUGUUUUUUGGUUUUCAACUUUGCUAACCGAAAUUAAAACCAUUCAGCUGUGCAUCAAGGGGAACGCCCGCGCUAGCCACGUCAUCACAAAUACGACAAAAAAAACAGCUGGUGGAUGGCGAAGGGCUACGCAGGCGCCUCUCUCUCGUUUCCUCCCACUCCGCCUCCGCCGCCACAUGCUGGCACUCUCGCUGGCUCGCCGCUUGCCGUGCCGUCCCUCUCCUACAGGCCCGCCGCCUCCUCCUCCUCCUCCCGCGCCCCUGGCGCUGCCCGGCCAGCGUGGUCACCGCCGGCGCUCGCCGUCAUGCCGUGCGCUUGCUAGGGUUCCGCCGGCGCCGCCAAAGCCACCUCCACCAUACCUUCUCCUCCAGUCUAUCCCCAAGGCCGCCCCAGGCUAGAAGGCGGAUACCGCCGUUGCGAGCAUGCCCCCCUCCUCGCUGGCGGGCUCAGCAACGACUUCGUCUCCAUCUGGAACCCAUCACCGGCGCGGCUGCCGCGACCAUAAUCACAUUCGAGAGGAGCAGCCCAUAGCGGGUCUUCCUCGUCUCCAUCUCCAAGCCACGCGAGCGCCGGAAGUGGCACAGAGCUGGUGGAGAAGGUAUCGGUGGUUGGAUUUGCCGCACGGGUGUCGGCGGCGCGAUGCGGCCUUGCCAUACUCUUAGGCAUCGGUGAAAUCCGUUCUGCAAUCUAGGAACGAGGCCAACUUCAGGAGAUGAUUGAAGCUGCACUAAAUUUAGCUACAAUGUAACAUCAAACAAUUGGUGGCCAACCUCCUACAGGAAGGAAAUUACAGUUUGGAUGAGGAUCUGUAGUCCAUAGGAUGGUCAGGUCCUGAUGGAUUCAGAAGACCAGGUCAUACCAUCAUGACUAUAUUCGAUUUGGUUCCUUAGGUACAUCAAAUGUGUCUAUCCAAGAAGAGCACAAUUUUAGAGGAGUGUUUCUUUAUGGUUCUGAUUCCCCACCCCCAUGUUAAUAUCUCUGUAUGAUUACCACAUUACAAGUCUUCUUUUAUAUCCAAAAGGGGGACUAGCAAUCUUCAUCAAGCUUAUUGGAUUGGUUGUUCAUGCCUACAUCAAUGUACUGUUCAACAUCAAGCUUAUUGGAUCAGCUGUUUAUGCCUAAAUCAACCAAACAAGUACGGAGUUAUCUUAUGUUAUUUCAAGGUAAAUCCUUCUAUUUUUUGGAGAAGCAAAGCUAACUACUUUGAAGCAGAGCUUCUGUUGUGCAUGUGGGGAAGAAGCCAUAUCACGUCUCAUAGGAAUUUUCUCGAUCACGGCAAUUAUUAGUGGAGCAUAGUACAAUUUCAAAGAGAUGAUCACGACAAUAAUGGCAGACAGGGGAAUCGAGGGACGGCACCGAAUCGUCUCCUCUCCCUUGUGGUUUAAAUACCGGAGGAAUGGGAGGAGGCGUCUUGCUCCUUGUUCGUUCCCGCUGCUGCCGGCGGCCAGAGCUUCCUGAUCAGAAAGCUUGUGAUGGCCGUAGAGGGUGGCAAGGACUGCCUCGGUGACUUCACUGACGACCUCCUCCGGCAUCUGUUGUCCCUUCUUCAGCCCGAAGAUGCCCUGAAGACUUGUGUGCUAGACACCAGGUGGCGUGAACUAUGCAGGCGCACCACUAGCCUGCACUUUGUCACUCUCAAGCGUUGGCUGUAGAAGUUCUCUGCCAACCCAGCUGUACAUGCCGCAGAUUAUUUCAAUCGGAAGGCGUCAUGAUGGUAUUGCUACAGAUGUAUAAUCUGUAGAUCAUGUUGAGUUCUCCUUUACUUGAUCAUUCUUUAUUUGCUAUCCUUUCAUCCUCAAUAUUUCAGAGAUAACGCCCUAUUAUGGUAACUACUAGAGUGUUCCCUUCUUACACCCCAGUUUAAUAGGGUGUUUGCUCUUAUGGUGACACCUAACACCCUAUUAAACUGUCCAAAAGUCUUAUAUUUAGGAAGAGCUGUUUUACGGUGAUUGG
Triticum urartu is the source of this 1995-nucleotide non-coding RNA. The record is from RefSeq and is a predicted model, not a curated record. NCBI's taxonomy places the organism in Eukaryota, Viridiplantae, Streptophyta, Magnoliopsida, Poales, Poaceae.